Monodelphis domestica (gray short-tailed opossum) is the source of this 3670-nucleotide non-coding RNA. Lineage: Eukaryota; Metazoa; Chordata; Mammalia; Didelphimorphia; Didelphidae. The record is from RefSeq and is a predicted model, not a curated record.
CUUGAGAGGAAUGAAGGUGGGGAACGAGUAGGGUUUGUGAAUGCAGAAAGAAGGAAGGAAAGGAAGAGAUCAAAGGGAAGAGGGAUGGAGGCUGGAUUAGGAGUAUGGAAAACAACUUGCAACCCCUAAACCAGGCCGCCCCCCAGGGCCAUAUGUCGGAAUUGCAACCAGGACCUGAGCCCCAACAUGGGCUGUACAUGCUGUUCCUUCUCGUGCUGGUCUUCUUUCUCAUGGGCCUCGUGGGGUUCAUGAUCUGCCAUGUACUCAAGAAGAAGGGUUAUCGCUGUCGAACAUCAAGAGGCUCAGAGCCUGAAGAUGCCCAGCUCCAGCCACCGGAUGAUGAGGAUAUGAAUGAGGACACAGUGGAAAGGAUUGUGCAGUGCAUCAUCCAAAACGAAGCCAAUGCCGAGGCUUUGAAAGAGAUGCUCGGGGACAGUGAAGGUGAGGCAACAGUACAGCUGUCCAGCCUUGAUGGUGCUCCUAGCCUGCAAGAUGGGACUCCGUCUCACCACCAUACAGUUCACCUGGGCUCAGCUGCCCCUUGUAUCCACUGUAGCCGAAACAAGAGACCACCUCUCAUCCGACAGGGCCGCUCCAAAGAGGGAAAAGGCCGUACUAGGCCAGGGGAGACCACAGUUUUCUCUGUGGGCAGGUUCCGGGUUACACACAUUGAGAAGAGAUUUGGGCUGCAUGAACAUCGUGAUGGCUCACCCACAGAUAGAAGCUGGGGCUCCAGUGGUGGGCAGGACCCAGGGGGAGGCCAGGGUUCUGGGAAAGGGCAGAUUGGACCUGGGACUCCUGCCACAGAAAGACUUCCAGCAUCAGGACCAGAGGCUGGCGUUCUAUCUAGUCCCCCUAUACAGAAUGGAAAUGUCAGAGAAAGGAGCUUAACUCCUUCUCUAAUUGAGAGGCCCUCUGGAACCAUGGAAGACUUGGAGGCAGCAGCCAGAGAGAGGGACACAAGGCCAGUAUUAUCCAGAAGGGAAACUAAUGGACAGCCAGCCAAACUGGAUGCCUCAGAUCUCCAGGUGUCACCACCAGGUGGCUCAGGAAGGAUAUGAGCCUACCCCAGGGAAGAGAUCUUACCGGUCGGAGACGAGGGGCUGCUGGAUCUACUGGGCCAAGGCAAUCCAGUGGGUGGUCUUGGAGAAAGAGCAGAGGUCAGCAAACUUGAUGCCCAAAGCAAUAAUUCCUCAAAUAACUAUUGUAUCUCCCUGUGCUGGGAACUAUCAGGACACAGGAGUCUAAAAUAGGUUCUUAAGAAAACUAACUAGUUAGAGAAACAAAAUUAACAGAUGGAAUAAAAGUAUGCAAGAAAAUGUAUAAUUAAACACUAAAUAGCAUAGUAUAGACUAUGGAUGACAUAGAAACUUAAAGGAGUGAGAAAGAGAUCAUUUCAAAUCACAGAAGUCUUGAGGUAAGGUUUAGUUAGGCUGGAGAGCAUGGAGAAGAUAUGCCAGGUGGUGAUUUUGAGGUGGGUGGGGAAUACAACACUGGCAACAAUUUUUAAAAAUGCUUUAUUACAGCAGACUGUCUUUUGGAAGAUUUGUGGAUUAGAAGAGGGAAAAGUGGGGUAGGGCUAGAUUAAAGAAGGCUUUAAAAGCCCAACAGAAGAUACUAAAUUUGACAUGGUAUAAAAUAUUCUUUCCCUAUGAGUCCUCUGUCUCUGUUCCAUCCCAGGUUCCCCAACUCACCCUCAGACAGGGCUCCUGCAGUCCUAUCAGCAGCAGGGAUGGGAGCUGGAGGAGAGAAGCUUGGCGGGGAUGGGGAUGGGAGCAUCUGGGAGAUAAGGCAAGAGCUUUAAGACUCUAGAAAGUUACUGAGGAAGUCAGCUCUUGGGGGAAGAUAAGGAGACCUUGCCUCUCAUCUUCACCCCACUUCUCUAUCCUAUACCAACCCUUCAAACCCCGAAUACAAGUUGUAAUAAAAUGCCUCUACCCUGGGGGAAAAUGCUGAUGCCUAUAUUCUAAGCCUGAGCUAGCCUUUGGUGGGCCAAGAGCACCAAUUACCCUAUUAAGGUAGAAAGUCAGCUCACCUGUUCUUGGUCUGGGGAGUCUAUGGAUCCUGGGGGGCCCAACAACUCCUCUACCAAUAGAGAAGGGAAAACUCCAACUUGGCCCCCAAACUCUCCCCUCCAAAAGCCAUCAUCCACACCACCCUGGGCACGGGGCAGCAGCCUGAUCAGUGCCCCCUCUGGAAAGCUCAGCUCCUCAGCACUCUGCCCUAUGUAGCUGUACAGGGCUCGGGCCAGGCACACUGCGAGAAAUGGAAACAGGUAGACUAUGAAGUGGCUAAAAGGGACAAGACAUACCCACCUUAAUACCCCUGGUUUCCUAAUGUGCCCCCUCACCUGUGGAAUUCUCCUCAAGGGGGUUGUCACUGUGGUGACCCUCCUGAGGAACAAGGUCUGGGAAGUCAAGGUACCGCUCUGGGACAUAGCCCACCACACCAUGCUGGUUCCGAGCCUGCUCGCAGUGGAAGAAGGGUGGGGGAGGCAUUGGAAGUGAUGGAGAAGGGAGAAAUCCAACUAGAUCAAAACUCUUAUCCCCCCAGGACUGCUAUCCCUCCAGGCCCUCAGCUCCAUGUUUCCUUAGGGACCAUCUAGAAAUAUUCUCCAUGCUCCCCAUCCCAUCUCAGAGUCAGAUCCCAGGGCCCUCAGCCCCUUCACCCCCAUUCCCUAGGGCCCCAACACACCUUGACCCACUCGUCUGCAUCACCAUCUUCCACGACCUCCAGCCACUCCCCCUCUGUGAUGGUCAACUCAUCCUCCCGCCCAGCCUGAGCCCCACAGGAAUGGACUCAGGUCUGGAUCCUUCCCUCCCCACUCAUUCAAGGGGUCCUCACUCCCCCACCCUGGGGCUCUCCCUAGCCCUACCCACCAUGCCCCCACCUUAUAGCCAAAGACAACAUGUGCUGGGCAAGGGAGGGACCUAGUGGGGAGGGUUGGGGGUGCUGGCUCUUGAAACAGCUCCCCCCCCUCCUCACAGUCCUCAAAGUCUGACAGUUCUGCAUCCUCUGCCUGGUAGGGAGACACAAAAAGGGGUAUCAGCUCCUUGAUCACAGGCUCCCACACCCAGAAUUACAUUCGAUAUUCAUCAAAGAUGUGCUUGCCCAACCCCAAAUCUCUGCACCAGUUUCCUGAUCAGGGUCUGUCUCCAAGUUGGUCAAGUUUUACCAUGGGGAAAGGAGUCUUUGGGAACACCCUCAAUCUGGAAGGUAGGGUCCUCAUGGGUGGGAGGAGAGGAAUCAGUGGAGAUGGGCUUUUCUUUUGUGUACAGGGGAGGGAAAGUCUUGUCUCACCGUGGGAGAAAGGUCUCCUUUCUGGGACAGCCGAGCCUCACUGAGCCGCCUCUCCUGCUCCAGCUCUUCCUGGGCCUGAGUCAUGGCUGGCCGAAGCCACUGCUCUAUAUCCAGCCCAGCCCCUUGCAGCACGGCCAGCCGAGCAGCCCCCUUCACCUGGCUUACCUGGCACAUGGACAAGGGAGGAAGAAGAGGGAGCAGAGGCUCAGAAAUGAGGACACAGCAGGAACAAGGACAAACCCACAUGUAAUACUACACAGAGUUCUUAGGAAAAUAAAAUAUGAUAAAGUAGGUACAGAACUGUGCAAAUCUAAAAGAACUUUGCAAAUAAAUUAUCCGUUAUCAUUCCAUGAGAAUGGAAGUUCCUUGA